This is a long non-coding RNA of Metopolophium dirhodum (rose-grain aphid), 1013 nucleotides long. RefSeq lists it as uncharacterized. Lineage: Eukaryota; Metazoa; Arthropoda; Insecta; Hemiptera; Aphididae. The transcript has 5 exons. The record is from RefSeq and is a predicted model, not a curated record.
GGGAAAGAUAAAAUCAAAAAUGCCAUCAAAUCAAAUAAUUUAAGUAUGCAAACACCUUUAACAAUUGACAUAGCGAAAAAAAGCUGGCCAGACAUUGCAAGAAAAUACUACAAUAAUCAAAUGGCCACUUUAAAUAAAAAGAAGAAAUCUGAAUUGUUUUUAACUACAAAAAAAUGGUGCGAAAAAAAGAAGGCUGAAGCAAAGGCUGCAGAAGAGAAGAUGGCUGCAGAAAAUGUUUAAGUAAACGUUGGUCAUGUUCAUCUACAUCGCCAAGUUACCUGAUCUACCUAGCUACGCUAUGUAGUAAUUUUGCAUAAAUAUUGAUGACCUUUCAUUGUAUUUUUAAAAUAUUUAAUAUUUAAAAAAAAACUUCCUUUUGCUAUAAUAUAUUAUUAUGAUUCAGAUGUUUACAUUUAGCAUUACAAUAUUAUUAAGGAUACCUUAGAUUUUUGACCAAGACUCAUUAGCUGACCGUAGACUGAUGUUAAGCAAUACUUUUCUUAGCGAUCCGUUAUCUAAUCCUAUAAAAACUCCUCUUAUCCGUUAUAAACUUUAAAUUUCCACAAUAGUCUAUCCGUACAGCUAUGUAGCUCUCAUAUUCUCCAUUCCCAAAAUUAAAAUAAAUUAUAUAUAAAAAAAACAAGCAACUAAGGCGCUUAUUAAUGUCUAUAUUGUCAAUAAAAAUCUCGGUUUCAUUUAAAAUUAUUUUUCUUUUUGUUUAAAUUUCUAAAAAAUGUUGUAUGUUAUUUAACAUUAUUAUUACUUUUAUUAUUAUGUCUACAACUCGCGGUAUUAUACUAUUACUCAAAUAUCAAAUAGGUACCUAGGUACCUACUUUAUAUUCAAAGAGCACUGGCAAAUUAUUUGUAAUAAAUAAACGUACCUAUUAUAAAUUAUAAGAAUAGCACGAUUCUAGAUAGAAUUCUAAAAAUAAUUAUAUAUUUAACAACAUAUUUUAUAUUGUUUGUACUACGAUUUUAAUUAACGAGUACAAUAAAUUACAGUUGUCUAGA